RNAcentral lists this ribosomal RNA (429 nucleotides) under Verrucomicrobiota bacterium. RNAcentral describes it as "Verrucomicrobia bacterium partial 16S ribosomal RNA". It matches the Rfam family "Bacterial small subunit ribosomal RNA", at positions 355 to 776 of the family's 1533-position model. The record is from RNAcentral. Lineage: Bacteria; Pseudomonadati; Verrucomicrobiota.
UAGGGAAUCUUCGGCAAUGGGGGGAACCCUGACCGAGCAACGCCGCGUGAGUGAAGAAGGUUUUCGGAUCGUAAAGCUCUGUUGUUAAGGAAGAACGAGUGUGAGAAUGGAAAGUUCAUGCUGUGACGGUACUUAACCAGAAAGGGACGGCUAACUACGUGCCAGCAGCCGCGGUAAUACGUAGGUCCCGAGCGUUGUCCGGAUUUAUUGGGCGUAAAGCGAGCGCAGGCGGUUAGAAAAGUCUGAAGUGAAAGGCAGUGGCUCAACCAUUGUAGGCUUUGGAAACUGUUUAACUUGAGUGCAGAAGGGGAGAGUGGAAUUCCAUGUGUAGCGGUGAAAUGCGUAGAUAUUAGGAGGAAUACCGGUGGCGAAGGCGACUUUCUGGACUUUUACUGACGCUCAGGUACGAAAGCGUGGGGAGCAAACAGG